Molecule: transfer RNA, 71 nt
Filed under: Planctomycetaceae bacterium
Lineage: Bacteria; Pseudomonadati; Planctomycetota; Planctomycetia; Planctomycetales; Planctomycetaceae
Description: tRNA-Gln
Rfam family: tRNA
About the family: Transfer RNA (tRNA) molecules are approximately 80 nucleotides in length. Their secondary structure includes four short double-helical elements and three loops (D, anti-codon, and T loops).
Source: RNAcentral
UACCCCGUAGUGUAAUGGUAACACCUGGGUUUUUGGUACCCAUAUUCUAGGUUCAAAUCCUAGCGGGGUAG